UUUCGAGUGGUGAUGAACAAUUGUGUUUUGGACUAGAGUUUCUGAUACUGCUACUUUGUGGUAGUAGUUGAAGACCAAACACUAAUGCAGUAAUGCCUUUAU
RNAcentral lists this small nucleolar RNA (102 nucleotides) under Dichanthelium oligosanthes. RNAcentral's name for it is "Small nucleolar RNA Z157/R69/R10". It matches the Rfam family "Small nucleolar RNA Z157/R69/R10". From Rfam's summary of the family: Z157, R69 and R10 are members of the C/D class of snoRNA which contain the C (UGAUGA) and D (CUGA) box motifs. Lineage: Eukaryota; Viridiplantae; Streptophyta; Magnoliopsida; Poales; Poaceae. The record is from Rfam by way of RNAcentral.